CUAAGAAUAUUCCGCAAUGGACGGAAGUCUGACGGAGCGACGCCGCGUGGAUGAAGAAGGCCGAAAGGUUGUAAAGUUCUUUUGCUGGGGAAGAAUAACCGCAGGAGGGAAUGCCUGUGGGAUGACAAGAACCGGCGAAUAAGCCCCGGCCAACUACGUGCCAGCAGCCGCGGUAACACGUAGGGGGGCGAGCGUUGUUCGGAAUUACUGGGCGUAAAGGGCAUGUAGGCGGCUUGGAAAGCCUGGCGUGAAAAGUCUGCAGCUUAACUGCAGGGGUGCGCUGGGAACUGCUGAGCUUGAGUGACGGAGAGGGAGCUGGAAUUCCUGGUGUAGGGGUGAAAUCUGUAGAUAUCAGGAAGAACACCGAUGGCGAAGGCAAGCUCCUGGCCGAUGACUGACGCUGAGGUGCGAAAGUGUGGGGAUCAAACAGGAUUAGAUACCCUGGUAGUCCACACAGUCAACGAUGUGCACUAGGUGCUGGGGCGGUAGCUUCGGUGCCGGAGCGAACGUGGUGAAGUGCACCGCCUGGGGAGUAUGCUCGCAAGGGUGAAACUUAAAUG
RNAcentral lists this ribosomal RNA (560 nucleotides) under uncultured bacterium. RNAcentral's name for it is "partial 16S ribosomal RNA". It matches the Rfam family "Bacterial small subunit ribosomal RNA", at positions 355 to 907 of the family's 1533-position model. The record is from RNAcentral.